ACUGCUCAGUAACACGUGGAUAACCUGCCCUUGGGUCCGGCAUAACCCCGGGAAACUGGGGAUAAUUCCGGAUAACGCACAUAUGCUGGAAUGCUUUAUGCGUAAAAUGGAUUCGUCUGCCCAAGGAUGGGUCUGCGGCCUAUCAGGUAGUAGUGGGUGUAAUGUACCUACUAGCCAACAACGGGUACGGGUUGUGAGAGCAAGAGCCCGGAGAUGGACUCUGAGACAUGAAUCCAGGCCCUACGGGGCGCAGCAGGCGCGAAAACUUUACAAUGCGGGAAACCGUGAUAAGGGGACACCGAGUGCCAGCAUCAUAUGCUGGCUGUCCGGGUGUGUAAAAUACACCCGUUAGCAAGGGCCGGGCAAGACCGGUGCCAGCCGCCGCGGUAACACCGGCGGCCCGAGUGGUGAUCGUGAUUAUUGGGUCUAAAGGGUCCGUAGCCGGUUUGGUCAGUCCUCCGGGAAAUCUGAUAGCUCAACUAUUAGGCUUUCGGGGGAUACUGCCAGGCUUGGAACCGGGAGAGGUAAGAGGUACUACAGGGGUAGGAGUGAAAUCUUGUAAUCCCUGUGGGACCACCUGUGGCGAAGGCGUCUUACCAGAACGGGUUCGACGGUGAGGGACGAAAGCUGGGGGCACGAACCGGAUUAGAUACCCGGGUAGUCCCAGCCGUAAACGAUGCUCGCUAGGUGUCAGGCAUGGCGCGACCGUGUCUGGUGCCGCAGGGAAGCCGUGAAGCGAGCCACCUGGGAAGUACGGCCGCAAGGCUGAAACUUAAAGGAAUUGGCGGGGGAGCAC
This 796-nucleotide ribosomal RNA is filed under the name uncultured archaeon. Its description in RNAcentral is "bacterial SSU rRNA". It matches the Rfam family "Archaeal small subunit ribosomal RNA", at positions 85 to 879 of the family's 1478-position model. The record is from RNAcentral.